UGCAUUCUUUAACUCAUGGCCCCUCCCUCC
RNAcentral lists this non-coding RNA (30 nucleotides) under Homo sapiens (human). Lineage: Eukaryota; Metazoa; Chordata; Mammalia; Primates; Hominidae. The record is from RNAcentral.